Antechinus flavipes (yellow-footed antechinus) is the source of this 6552-nucleotide long non-coding RNA. RefSeq lists it as uncharacterized. The record is from RefSeq and is a predicted model, not a curated record. The transcript has 2 exons. NCBI's taxonomy places the organism in Eukaryota, Metazoa, Chordata, Mammalia, Dasyuromorphia, Dasyuridae.
AAUUCAGGACAUCGAUAGCAAUUCUCAGUGCCAUGGGUUAACCAAUGAAAAGUCAGAGGACGUAGAUGAAGAGGAAGAAGAGUUGGAGGAGGAAGACGACGACAGCCUGACAGGGAAGUCCCAGGAUGAGACCGUCUCCCCCACCACUGAGCCCCAAGGAGCCUAUGAGGAUGAGGAGGAUGAAGAGCCCACAUCACUCAGCAUGAGCUUUGAUCACACACGAAGGCUUAUGCAAUGAUGCUUUCUCUUUCUGAGAAUGCUCCUCUUCACACUUCCUCCCAGAAUUCUCUGGACGCUUGGUUGAACAUGACAGGAGCAGCAUCAGAGACGGGGGCCUUCAACUCCAUUAACCACCUCUGAGAGGUCACGGAGGCACUGGAGACAGAGUCCAGAGUGAGACGACUACCAUGCUAUUAAUGCCCCUUGCAGAAAUUCUGGACAACCACAAGACAGAGCAGAGAUCCUCAGGGAAGUCUCUACGAUUUGGGCUGGGGAAACAUAACUCUUCACCUGUGAUCUGCAACGCCUGAUUUUUUUUUUUUUUUUGUAUUUUUGGUUUCGUUUUGUUUCUUUUUAUCUACCCACCGUAGCUUGUCUCUUGAUUUCUCAAACUGAACAUCAGAACCCAGAGAAUCCCUGAAGCAGUCCCAGGAUUUCACCAUCUCUAAGAAUAGUUUUUGGAAACACGGCUAAUCUGUGGCACAAAAAUAGCAAGUUAACAGCAGUCAAAGCCUAGUUCAUUAGAGUUGGGAAAUGACAUUUCCCUAUCCUCUGCCUCCACCCCAGACCAACUAAUGUAGAAUUUUUCAUCUGAAAUUAAAGCCAUUUGGCCAUUUCAGGGGAUCUGAAUGGCACUUCUUAAGGGAAAAAGAUAAAUCUAGUUUGGGCCCUAAAGAGAUAGAUUGCUUUUAAAUUGUCAGAUUGCUGGGUUUUUUUUUUUUUUCAUAUAUAAUGAAAAGGACAGAAAUAACAUUUUUAGGAACCUUGUUGCUACAGAUUCUCUUUGAGCUCGUGAAUUUUUUAAAGUAUUUUUAAGAAAUCUGAAAUUACUUGCAAAUUAUUGAGGUUUUUUUAAAGUAGUUUUGCAUUGAUUUGAACUAUCCGCUCCCUCCUGGACAUUAACCAGCCUCAAGCACAGCAUAGAGAUUGCAUGUGCUUUUUAAAUCCUUUAGGACAACCAUGGACUUUUUUUUCUCUCCCCUCCCCUCCCCUUUUUUUUCUCUCUCUGAUCCUGUUUGUCCACAUGGAAAAGUGAAAGUGAAGGCUCAUGGAGACCAUAGGUAAAAACCGAACUAGAAUAAAAAUUAAGGGCCUUCCUGAGCCAUCCUUAGACAUGGUGUCAUUGCAGAUAGGACUGCCCCAUGGUUGGGACUAAGAAAUGUGCCUGCCACUAAGUGACUUGUAGCUAAAACUAGGGAACCCCUAAUUUCGCCCAGUGGGAGGAGUCUCCUGGCAAUGCAUCCUUGGCGCCUAAAGUUCAGCAGUUUGGGCUGAUGUGAGCCACCUAGGACACGGAAGUGCAACUGAAGUGAGUGAAAAGGGAGCCGUUGGUCUCUUACCCAUUGAAUUUCCCCGGAGAUCCGAGGGGUCUUACUUCUGUUGUCCUUGUGUCCUCACCUCCCUAUCCAAGAUUCGGGGCCUGUUGGCCAUUCUUGGGUCACCCUAGGACAGUGCCCUGUUCCCUCCCACCUCGCUCCUCAACGCCCCCCCCUCCCGAUGACGUGGACUGGAAGAACAGAUAGCCACCUUCAAUUUGCUCUCUUCGUGGCUCCCCAAGGGGGUCAGACUUCUAAGCCGCCAAGUCCAUUUGUGUGCCUCGGACUCCGGAUUCACAAGACAUUAUUUAACUCCCGUUUCCAAUGUUUGCACAAGAUCUUGGCAAGAUGCAGCUCAAGAACCGAACUGUGUCCACCAUCAUUAGCCAGGCUCUAAGAGUUUAAGCUAGAACAUUCCUUUCCUGGAAACAUCCACCCGUCCUCCAGCACCACAGUACUUGCCCAUUUGAAUGGGUUUUAAAUUAUUCCCAUAGGGGCCAAUUUAAAAUAAUAAUUUUUUUUCUGAUGGAAUUUACCUUAAUCUGUAUAUAACUUGUAAUUUUUUUCUAAUUCUUUUCUUUUUCAUUUCUUCAUUAACAGUAUUUUUUUUGGCAUUAGAUAUCCUCAUUGUGAAAAAAAAAUAAUGUUAAUAUAAGUAUCUAGUGAAGGACCAAAAUCGUGUAUUAAGGUUACGUGUUGUAUGAUUGAUAACCAGGGAGUAGGACAAUUUUUUUUUAAAUUAAUGUGCCAAAUAUACCCCCUAAUUGAUCCCGCUGUCAUUGCUGCCAAUUUUCCAGACAAUCAUAUGUUGUGUUAAAUUUGAUUUUCGAUUACAGUUGCAUUUAGGAUAAGUGUUCUAUUUAUUUCUUUUAUUGUUUGGAAGGAAAGGAAAGAAAAAAAAAUUAAUAUCCCAACAAGGAGAGAGAAGUUGGGGGGGGAGGGAAAAAAAAAAGCCUCGUCUAAGUUGCCCUUUAAAAGAAAAAUUUCUAAUGUAAAUAGAGACAACUGUGAACCAAGGUGUUUUUAUCCAGGGCAGCCUUCGAGGUAAAAGUGCCAUAUCGCCAAGAACUUUACAGUGUUUAUUUAUAAAAAACGAAUAGGAACGAGAAGAAAAAAGAAAUUCGAUCAGGUUAAUUCCUGUUGUUGUUUUCAAGUACAGCUGAUGCAUUCAUAAAGACAACUGAUGAUAGCUGUAAAUAAUUCAAGUUCAAACUUUAGCAAUAGAAUUAUCUGUCAGUCAGGGUGAUAGCUGCAGAAGGAGGGAAUCCUGGGGUUUGGGUUGAUGGUCAAUUUCCUUUGAUAGAUCAGAACCUAACUAAUUCUGUUUUCUUUCUUUUCUUCCUUCCUUAUUUUCCUUCUUUUCUUCCUUCCUUAUUUUCUUUCUUGUUUUUUCUCUUUCUUCCUUUCUUGUUUUUUCUCUUUCUUUCUUUUUUUCUUCCUUCUUUCCUUUCACAAUAAUAAGCCUCAGCUUUUUUUCCUUUUUUAUAUAAGUUUACCUGUCAACAGCUCAAGCCACUCCUCCAAGUAUUGUUUUCAUGGGUAGGUCUUUUUUGCACAAUUUAGCAGGUUGGGGAUGAUCCUUCUUUUGGGGAAAGCAAGAGAGGAAGGUUAAUUAGGAAAAAGAAGUGAAUGGGGCAGGCUGGCCUUGUCAGCCUUGAGCAAAGCUUGCAGAUUAAAACGCUCACCUCUACAUGUCUAUAUCUACCGAUUUUCCUGCUUGCCAGACCCAUUAGAGGUUGUAGAGUAAUUUCUCUGCUCAAGAUAGGAUUUUCUUUGAAAACUGACUUCAUCACAAACCCCUUUUUCUGCAAAUUCUGAUUGCGAUUUUUUUCCUUUAAAAGGUUAAGGUAGAGGUGGAGGCUGAAGGAGGAAACUUAUUUCCCUGAUCUUUAUGGAGGAUUUGGAGCCAUCUUUCCCAAAUUAGGCAAGAUAAGAUUAUCGGCAGAAAUAUUAAACAUACACACGCACAUACAUAUGUUGGCAGUCCACAAAGAGAUGAGGGUUAGCAUUUUUUAUUACAACUUGAUUUUUCCUGCUUUCUCUUAAAUUCUCUGCUGUUCUGUUGAUCCUAGAUUCUCAGUCAAAUGAGACCCCAAAGAUCAUCUGGUACAUCCUGUAGCCAAACCAGGAUUCUCCUCUCUGGCAUUCUCACAAGUAAUUAUCCAUUCUCUCUUUGAGAGAAUUCAUCAUCCAACCCUUUUCUCUCCCUCCAGCCCCCCAAAAAGGCAGCCUCAUUCCAUUUUUAGACAGAUCAAAUUGUUAGAACAUGUUUUCCCCUUUUAUGCAAAGUUGGAAAAUGCCAAUCCUGGUUCUGUCCUUCGGGGCUAAGCAGAAUGAGCGAAAUCUUUCUUUUACAUAACAGUUCACUGUGUCUGUACAAUAUCUCUUCUUCACCACCCCUCAAAAGCCCCACUUGAACCCCCUGAAUUAAUUGUUUUGUUUCACUACAAGACAAUUAGAGUUUAUGAGAUUUCUGCUUAGUUGUGAGAUCCUUAUGCUUCCGUAUGGAAGAUUUCAUCAUUUGUAGCUUAGACCCUUAAAAAAGAAGCACUUAGUUCUUAUGAUUUACCUUUCCCUGGAAUGUUUUUAUUUCCUAAAAAAAAAAAAAAAAAAAAAAAAAAAAAAAAAAAAGUUGGAUUUCCCCAAUCUGAAGUGAGGGCUUAUCUUUACUACAAGCUUCAGGGAAGCCUAGAUUUCCAACUCCAUUCAGAUGGUUCUAGGUCAAGUACACAAAACACCAGGAAGAACCCCUCCAUUUAGAAACCUAGUAACAUUGUGAAGGUGCUGGGAAUCCCGGACCACCGUACUGGGAGCAGCAGAGAGUUCAAGAACCCUGCUGGUCUCUUUCAAUCUCUUUUAAAUUUAAUUUUGUUUCUAUCACCGGUGGCCAUGGUAGCCAUAGUCACAAAGCACAGAAAUGAUGUGACUGGUACAGUUGCUAAGUCACCGAGUGCACUAGCGGGAUGAAGGAGUUUAAUGGUGAAAGGAGCAGACAUCGGUGCCCUGGGUGUAUGUCCAGACAUACUGUCAUGCCGAAUCAGCGGCGAUGACCGGUCUACUUCCCUCAACUACCACACGGCUGCUAACUUUUCUCAUGCAUCAGAUGUAGACCCUGCCAGAAUGACCUUGCAAUAAGCAAACAAUUGGGUCAAACUCAAUAAAAGCCAUCAGCCAUACCAGGGAGUUGAGUGAACUGACCGGUUGCUUUUCCUGACUGUCCACAUCAGUUGGUUUCAUUUCUCUGGGAAGAUGUACCUUAAUAUUUAGUCUUGUCCUGGGGAUCAAGAUUCCGGUGGUAAUGAGGAAGGAUAGCUGAUCAUAUAAGAGAUGGCAGACCAGAAGGGGAAGAAAUGGACAUGAAAAAGAAAGUCAUUUCAAGGAAAGGGACAAAAAAAAACCAUCCUCCUUUCUUUGAUGUGCCAGCUGAAGCCCCAAAAGUCUGCCCCUUUUAUCUCAAUUUUUCUUGCAUAAGCUCAAGUUGCUGUACCCUUUUUUUAGAUUCAGAGUUUUAGGUAUCUCUUUCCACCCCACUCCUAUCCAAGUGAUUCCAAAGUGCUUAGCCCUAGUACACUUGCUGAAUUUGAGGAGGAGGGGAUGAGAAGGGAGACUGGGGUAGCCAAGGUUAGGGAGAAGGAUACCCUGGAGCCUGUUAGAGACAUUUGAAAGUUAAAGAAUUGAAAUAAGCUCUGAUCUCAAUUAGGAGCAUGAAGGCAAAACGGUUCCUCUCAAAAGCCAUUAAGUUCUUUCUCUCUCAUGCUGAGUGAUACUGUGAUGAAAGCAUCCUUGCAUUAUUCUGAGGACUUUUUAAUAUAUAUAUAUUUUUUCUGCAUGGCAGAACUGGACCAGUACAAAGAAUACUGGAUCCAGGUCCUGGUUUCAAAUACCAGUUCUGCUAUUUAAGAACUUUGUGACCUUGGGCCUCGGUUUCCUCAAAAUGAGGAUGAUUGGAUGAGAUGACCUCCCAUACCCCUCCUUUUUAUUCUUUAUCUCUCUCACACACCCUCCUUUAUUUUUUCAAUAAUUGUUAUUGUUAUUAUUAUUAUUAUUAUUGUUAUUAUUAUUGUUUUGCCUAUCAUGGAUUCUUACGAUUACCACUUUUGGAAAAAAGAUGAAGGCAGCUCAAGUUUCCAAAUGUGUAAUUCACUAUUGAAUAGUCACUCGAAAGGUUUCUUUCGGCGAUAUUUUACACGAUCGCCACUCUCCUCCGAGCAAGAGAUGCUUUGCCCAGACUUCUUCUCCAGCCUGCAGGAAAAAAAAAAGAAAAAAAGAAAAAAAUAACUUAAAAACAUAGUUAUAUCAUGCUUGUUAAGAAUCCUGAAUUUAGGCAUUUUCUGUUGUUCCUUUCCCCAUUGUUACGAGACCGAUUUGAUUUAAGGUUUUUUUUUGUUGUUGUUGUUGUUUUGUUUUCUUUUAGGGCUGUAUAGUGUUGGGAAAAAAAAUAAUCAAAUUGUAAAUGUCUGGUUCUCAUAUAAUGUUUCAAAACCAUUGAGAAAGCGGAUGGUGCUCGUCCUGUUUCACUUCGGAUUGUAUAUUGCUUCGGUUAUGUUUAUAAGUAAACUGUGCAUGACUCGUGUUUAGCGGUCAUUAUUGUGUCUGUUUGUGAAAUUUUUAUUAAAAACAGAAAAAAAAAAUUCCGUAGAUGCACUUAUGUAUAUGUGAUUAGGUUCAACGUCCAGGACUAGAAAUCUGGAACUGCUCACAUGACAGGGGGGAGGGCAGUUCUUAAUUAAUUAAUAUGAAAAUCGCUUGUGGGAGAAUAAAUGAGAUUUAAAAAAAAGAUAUGAAGUGUAGAAAAUAAUUAAAAAUGAGCGAUUUUUUUUUUGCAAAAUUUCAUUUUGAUGCUUGUGAUAAAGACAAAUGUACUUGUGUAGAGAAAUUCCUUUAAAAUAAUGACUAGGAAAAGCUGAUUUUGAGGGUAAUGCUGUAGAUUAGGAAUGUAUACCAAAUGUAAUCUUUCCAAUGCUAUGAUGAAUUUAUACAUGAGAUUGAUAUGCAAUAAACCUGUGUGCUUUUCUAA